GGAGCUGUAGCUCAGUGGUAGAGCACUUGCCUUGUACACAUGAGGCCCUGCAUUGGAUUCCCAGCACCA
Molecule: transfer RNA, 69 nt
Filed under: Marmota monax (woodchuck)
Lineage: Eukaryota; Metazoa; Chordata; Mammalia; Rodentia; Sciuridae
Rfam family: tRNA
About the family: Transfer RNA (tRNA) molecules are approximately 80 nucleotides in length. Their secondary structure includes four short double-helical elements and three loops (D, anti-codon, and T loops). Further hydrogen bonds mediate the characteristic L-shaped molecular structure. tRNAs have two regions of fundamental functional importance: the anti-codon, which is responsible for specific mRNA codon recognition, and the 3' end, to which the tRNAs corresponding amino acid is attached (by aminoacyl-tRNA synthetases). tRNAs cope with the degeneracy of the genetic code in two manners: having more than one tRNA (with a specific anti-codon) for a particular amino acid; and 'wobble' base-pairing, i.e. permitting non-standard base-pairing at the 3rd anti-codon position.
Source: Rfam by way of RNAcentral